GUGUCAGCCGCCGCGGUAAUACGUAGGGUGCGAGCGUUAAUCGGAAUUACUGGGCGUAAAGCGUGCGCAGGCGGUUGUGUAAGACAGGUGUGAAAUCCCCGGGCUUAACCUGGGAACUGCGCUUGUGACUGCACGGCUAGAGUACGGCAGAGGGGGGUGGAAUUCCACGUGUAGCAGUGAAAUGCGUAGAUAUGUGGAGGAACACCGAUGGCGAAGGCAGCCCCCUGGGCCGAUACUGACGCUCAUGCACGAAAGCGUGGGGAGCAAACAGGAUUAGAUACCCUGGUAGUCCACGCCCUAAACGAUGUCAACUAGUCGUUCGGAAAGGUAACUUUCUGAGUGACGCAGCUAACGCGUGAAGUUGACCGCCUGGGGAGUACGGCCGCAAGGUUAAAACUCAAAGGAAUUGACGG
RNAcentral lists this ribosomal RNA (413 nucleotides) under uncultured bacterium. Its description in RNAcentral is "bacterial SSU rRNA". It matches the Rfam family "Bacterial small subunit ribosomal RNA", at positions 505 to 916 of the family's 1533-position model. The record is from RNAcentral.